GGGGGCUGAACAGAGCGGGCGGUAGCGCUCGGGAGGCGUGUCGCGUGGCAGGUAGGCGGGGUCCAUGGGCUCAAAGGCUCCCAGCUGCAUGUUCCUCAAAAACUUGCAUAAGACAAGGGGGGUCAGAGCUCAGGUUGGCCAACACUGGCUCCGCCCCUGCUUGGCAUCAGCCGAGAGAGAUAAAUAAAGAAAUCGAUCAGAUGGUGAUCACGGUGCCUACCCGUAGGAACUUCAAGACCAGGCCUCAUAUUCAUCACAACUACAACUUACAAAGGCGAGGCCUUACCAAUUUGGUAUCACGUGAACAGUAAUCCUGCACAUAACAACAUCAAUGUCAUAAUUAGUAUAUGCAAACACCAAGGAUUGCUGUCCAAAGAUUUGAACUAGAAAUUCAGGUCAUUUGGCAUUUAUGAAUGUCUGAAAUUAUAAAACUGCAGCAAUUUAGAAUGA
This is a long non-coding RNA of Phragmites australis (common reed), 450 nucleotides long. RefSeq lists it as uncharacterized. The transcript is spliced from 2 exons. NCBI's taxonomy places the organism in Eukaryota, Viridiplantae, Streptophyta, Magnoliopsida, Poales, Poaceae. The record is from RefSeq and is a predicted model, not a curated record.